RNAcentral lists this unclassified non-coding RNA (626 nucleotides) under Melitaea cinxia (Glanville fritillary). Its description in RNAcentral is "misc RNA ENSMCXG00005000325.1". The record is from RNAcentral. Lineage: Eukaryota; Metazoa; Arthropoda; Insecta; Lepidoptera; Nymphalidae.
UUAUGUUAUUCAUUAAUGUGUAGGUACAAUCUUGUUUUUUAAAAUGUACCAAUAUCAUUGUCAGGAUUUAAUUUAGAAUAGGGGGAAGAGUGAGUAAUUUGGAUUCAAUUGUUAGGGAACAGUUUAACUGAGCGUAAUUGCAAAAUUGUUUAUGGUAUUGGAGGCCAAAACACUAAAAAGGAAUUUACUCGAGCCUCGUGGGGAUUUAUUUUAGUUUAUGAAGAUUAAAUAAAAAAAGGUUAUAUGUUGUAUGGCCUUUUAAUGUGGGCAGAGCGUAUACAAGUUUUAAUGGUCGAUUCAUGACAAUGCAAAAAUUUUACCUGUGACCUUUUUAAAUUUUUUUAGUUUAAGUUUUCUAACAAUUACUUUUAUUUUCGAAUAAAAGUAAGUACACACAGUUUUUAUUUUUCGGACCGUCAGAUUAAUAAAUUUCUGGAGACCGCGUCUGGGCUAAUGUAGUGUAGGACGUACUCCGGCCCGUUGGACCGACGAUCCAGCAGUGGACUGCAAUAGGCUGAACUGGCUGACUGACUGUCUCCACAUAAAUGCCAGACUAUGGGUCACAGUACGUCAGUCGACGAGAACAUCAAGAUGAAACGUCUGUAUAGCAUAAUAAUUGACGAGCU